RNAcentral lists this ribosomal RNA (1431 nucleotides) under uncultured organism. RNAcentral's name for it is "16S ribosomal RNA". It matches the Rfam family "Bacterial small subunit ribosomal RNA". The record is from RNAcentral.
GCUUAACACAUGCAAGUCGAACGGAAAGGCCCUGCUUUUGUGGGGUGCUCGAGUGGCGAACGGGUGAGUAACACGUGAGUAACCUGCCCUUGACUUUGGGAUAACUUCAGGAAACUGGGGCUAAUACCGGAUAGGAGCUCCUGCUGCAUGGUGGGGGUUGGAAAGUUUCGGCGGUUGGGGAUGGACUCGCGGCUUAUCAGCUUGUUGGUGGGGUAGUGGCUUACCAAGGCUUUGACGGGUAGCCGGCCUGAGAGGGUGACCGGCCACAUUGGGACUGAGAUACGGCCCAGACUCCUACGGGAGGCAGCAGUGGGGAAUAUUGCACAAUGGGCGGAAGCCUGAUGCAGCAACGCCGCGUGCGGGAUGACGGCCUUCGGGUUGUAAACCGCUUUCGCCUGUGACGAAGCGUGAGUGACGGUAAUGGGUAAAGAAGCACCGGCUAACUACGUGCCAGCAGCCGCGGUGAUACGUAGGGUGCGAGCGUUGUCCGGAUUUAUUGGGCGUAAAGGGCUCGUAGGUGGUUGAUCGCGUCGGAAGUGUAAUCUUGGGGCUUAACCCUGAGCGUGCUUUCGAUACGGGUUGACUUGAGGAAGGUAGGGGAGAAUGGAAUUCCUGGUGGAGCGGUGGAAUGCGCAGAUAUCAGGAGGAACACCAGUGGCGAAGGCGGUUCUCUGGGCCUUUCCUGACGCUGAGGAGCGAAAGCGUGGGGAGCGAACAGGCUUAGAUACCCUGGUAGUCCACGCUGUAAACGGUGGGUACUAGGUGUGGGGUCCAUUCCACGGGCUCCGUGCCGUAGCUAACGCUUUAAGUACCCCGCCUGGGGAGUACGGCCGCAAGGCUAAAACUCAAAGGAAUUGACGGGGCCCCGCACAAGCGGCGGAGCAUGCGGAUUAAUUCGAUGCAACGCGUAGAACCUUACCUGGGUUUGACAUGGAUCGGGAGUGCUCAGAGAUGGGUGUGCCUCUUUUGGGGUCGGUUCACAGGUGGUGCAUGGCUGUCGUCAGCUCGUGUCGUGAGAUGUUGGGUUAAGUCCCGCAACGAGCGCAACCCUUGUUCACUGUUGCCAGCACGUUAUGGUGGGGACUCAGUGGAGACCGCCGGGGUCAACUCGGAGGAAGGUGGGGAUGACGUCAAGUCAUCAUGCCCCUUAUGUCCAGGGCUUCACGCAUGCUACAAUGGCUGGUACAGAGAGUGGCGAGCCUGUGAGGGUGAGCGAAUCUCGGAAAGCCGGUCUCAGUUCGGAUUGGGGUCUGCAACUCGACCUCAUGAAGUCGGAGUCGCUAGUAAUCGCAGAUCAGCAACGCUGCGGUGAAUACGUUCCCGGGGCUUGUACACACCGCCCGUCAAGUCAUGAAAGUUGGUAACACCCGAAGCCGGUGGCCUAACCGUUGUGGGGGAGCCGUCGAAGGUGGGACUGGUGAUUAGGACUAA